AUAACGCCGCCUUCUCAUUCAACACCAAGCUGGUAGCAGAGUUGGCUUUUCUUGACAAAGCACUGGGUUUGACAACUGUUUACAUUGAUUGCCACCAUACUUUUGUGGAAGCUCUUAAAAAUCCCAGCAAGUUCGGAUUCCUUGAAACAUCAAAGGGAUGUUGCGGAACUGGUACCACGGAAUUUGGGGACACAUGUAAGGGUUUGCG
This 208-nucleotide unclassified non-coding RNA is filed under the name Hevea brasiliensis (rubber tree). Lineage: Eukaryota; Viridiplantae; Streptophyta; Magnoliopsida; Malpighiales; Euphorbiaceae. The record is from RNAcentral.